AUGAGGAACAGCUCUGCCGGUACCAAAGUGCCCUGCAGGAGGUGCUCUAGGCAAGCAGCGGAAGCUCCCUGCAGCCCAGAAAAGGCCUACGGAGGAGUAGGCUGUCGCCUGCAGCCCACAGACAUCACGUGGAGCAGAUCUCCUAGUGCAGCCGUGGACGAGCCCCUACAGGAGCAGCCUCGGCUGGAACUGCACCCCGUGUGGAGGAGCCCUGGCAGGGCAAGAGGGCUGGGGGAACUGCUGCUUGUGGAGCAGUGUGCUCCUGAAGGUGGGCUUUGUGAAAGGGGAGCCAUGUCAGAGCACUGCUUGAUGAGCUGCGCCCUUGGGAAGCUGACACAGGAAAGGGAGAGGAGAAAGUUCUAUUUGGACUUGAGAUUGUAGUGGGAGUUUUAAUGAAGUGGAUGCGGAAGGGUGAAUUCCUGUCGUGUUCUUUUGGACACACUUGCUGAAAAGUGAGGAAGGAGAAUCACAGAUGAUUGAGGUUCUGGUUCCAGGAAAUGAACAACAUGGUGUGCUGCAUUUCGUAUAUCUAUGAUUUUGUGAGGAGGAGAGACAAGAAAUGUAGAACUGGGUGCUGUUGGUGAGCUCUGCACUGAGUUAUCUGAUACUAAUCAUUUCACUCUGAAUAGCCUCAGUUUACAUUUCUGUAAUUGAAAGAUCUAGCUGGUGAUCUGCUGGGGUAGGAGAUACAAAAUAAUUGGAAAGAAUGAAAAGAAAUUGCACUGUUAUUUGCAGUCCACGUUCUUGGAAAUGAUCAUUUAUUCUGCACACCAUAUGUACACCUCACAUAAUCUAGUCUUUUCUGUACCUGUAUUCUGUAUCCCACUUUUAAGCCUUCCCCAAUCCUUUUAUCUCUGAGUGUGGCAGCCUGUGAUAAGAGACUCUUCCACAUUCAGGAAAUAAGAAUAGCAGC
Molecule: long non-coding RNA, 913 nt
Filed under: Gallus gallus (chicken)
Lineage: Eukaryota; Metazoa; Chordata; Aves; Galliformes; Phasianidae
Description: lncRNA (ENSGALG00010017504.1)
Source: RNAcentral